Molecule: ribosomal RNA, 499 nt
Filed under: uncultured bacterium
Lineage: Bacteria
Description: partial 16S ribosomal RNA
Rfam family: Bacterial small subunit ribosomal RNA
Source: RNAcentral
GACGAACGCUGGCGGCGUGCUUAACACAUGCAAGUCGAACGGGCCCGCCCCUGUUUUUGGGGGUGGGUUGAGUGGCGAACGGGUGAGUAUCACGUGAGUAACCUGCCCCCUGCUCCUGGAUAACUGCUUGAAAGGGCGGCUAAUACGGGGUGUGCCGGCUGGUCCGCAUGGGCCUGGUCGGGAUAGUUUCAUCUUCGGGUGUUUCGGUGGGGGAUGGGCUCGCGGCCUAUCAGCUUGUUGGUGGGGUGAUGGCCCACCAAGGCGGUGACGGGUAGCCGGCCUGAGAGGGUGGGCGGCCACACUGGGACUGAGACACGGCCCAGACUCCGGCGGGAGGCAGCAGUGGGGGGUAUUGCACAAUGGGCGGAAGCCUGAGGCAGCGACGUCGCGUGAGGGAUGGAGGCCGUCGGGUUGGGAACCUCUUUCUCCGGUGGUGAAGGCCCUGUCCGUUGCGGCGGGGUUGACGGUAGCCGGGGAUGAAGCGCCGGCUAACUACGUG